Molecule: non-coding RNA, 331 nt
Organism: Vicugna pacos (alpaca)
Lineage: Eukaryota; Metazoa; Chordata; Mammalia; Artiodactyla; Camelidae
Source: RefSeq, a predicted model, not a curated record
CAGGAAUGCCAGAGAGUCCCAAACAGGAUCAAUCCAAAGAGGAUCACACCAAACACAUUAUAAUUAAAAUGGCAAAAAAUAAAGGUAAACAGAGAAUAUUAAAAGCAAGGGAAAAGCAACAAAUUACAUAUAAGGGAACUCCCAUAAGGCUAUCAGCUGACUUUUCAGCAGAGAUUCUGCAGGCCAGAAGACAGUGGCAUGUUAUAUUUAAGUGAUGAAAAAUCUACAACUAAGAAUAAUCUAGAUGGCAAGAUUUUCAUUCAGAUUUGAUGGAGAGACCAAAACUUUUACAGACAAGCAAAGGCUGAAAGAAUUUAGCACCACUAAAUCA